UACAGAGGGGGCAAGCGUUGUUCGGAAUUACUGGGCGUAAAGGGCGCGUAGGCGGCCUUCUAAGUCGAACGUGAAAUCCCUGGGCUCAACCCAGGAACUGCGUCCGAGACUGGAAGGCUUGAAUCCGGGAGAGGGAUGCGGAAUUCCAGGUGUAGCGGUGAAAUGCGUAGAUAUCUGGAGGAACACCGGUGGCGAAGGCGGCAUCCUGGACCGGCAUUGACGCUGAGGCGCGAAAGCCAGGGGAGCAAACGGG
RNAcentral lists this ribosomal RNA (253 nucleotides) under uncultured bacterium. RNAcentral describes it as "partial 16S ribosomal RNA". It matches the Rfam family "Bacterial small subunit ribosomal RNA", at positions 524 to 776 of the family's 1533-position model. The record is from RNAcentral.